GCUGUCAAGAGUCAGACGCCAAUUAGCGAACAAAAAUAGAGUUUAUUCAGCAGAUAAGCCAAAAAGUAAUGUUAACACAGAAAAAACCUUGAAACACUUCACUAUCAGUGCUUCAAGAGCAGUUCAAACAAAAAUAUAAUUCAGCAACAAAAGCAGGUAAAAACAAAGCUAAACAAACUUAGUGCAAACUGCACUUUCUGAGUCCAAGCCCUGCCAGCCGGCUCUGUAGUUUUCAAAGGAACAGUUCCCAAAAGAAAACACCAAAUUGGUCAGGAAACAAACAAACAAACUAAGAAUGCAGUAGACUGCUUCCACAAUGUGGAUAAAGCCGAAGGCUCCAAAAGGAUGGUGCAAAGACGUCGUCCGGGAUUCCAAGGUCAGGUCAGGAGAUAACAGCGGUGUCCAAAGAGCAAGCCAGGAGUCAAAAGCCGAUAGUAGUCAUCAAUCACAGGGCGAAGGCAGUAGCAAGGUCAAAUUCCGAUCCAAGGUCUGAAGAGGGUGCAGUCAUCCAAAACAGGUCCAUGAUAAGACACAGCGAGAGCCAAGCUAGGUGAUAACAGCAGAUGCAAAUCAUAGUCCAAGUCCAGUCUUCAUGGAAACACAGAGAUCCCAAUGGCGCCUCAGCAACACCUUGCCACACGCAAAGUGUUGCUGAGGCGCCAUUGGGAUCUCUGUGUUUCCAUGAAGACUGGAUUUGGACUAUGAUUUGAAUCUGCUGUUAUCACCUAGCUUGGCUCUCGCUGUGUCUUAUCGUGGACCUGUUUUGGAUGACUGCACCCUCUUCAGACCUUGGACCGGAAUUUGACCUUGCUACUGCCUUCGCCCUGUGAUUGAUGACUACUAUCGGCUUUUGACUCCUGGCUUGCUCUUUGGACACCGCUGUUAUCUCCUGACCUGACCUUGGAAUCCCGGACGACGUCUUUGCACCAUCCUUUUGGAGCCUUCGGCUUUAUCCACAUUGUGGAAGCAGUCUACUGCAUUCUUAGUUUGUUUGUUUGUUUCCUGACCAAUUUGGUGUUUUCUUUUGGGAACUGUUCCUUUGAAAACUACAGAGCCAGCUGGCAGGGCUUGGACUCAGAAAGUGAAGUUUGCACUAAGUUUGUUUAGCUUUGUUUUUACCUGCUUGUGUUGCUGAAUUAUAUUUUUGUUUGAACUGCUCUUGAAGCACUGAUAGUGAAGUGUUUCAAGGUUUUUUCUGUGUUAACAUUACUUUUUGGCUUAUCUGCUGAAUAAACUCUAUUUUUGUUCGCUAA
Molecule: long non-coding RNA, 1253 nt
Organism: Anolis carolinensis (green anole)
Lineage: Eukaryota; Metazoa; Chordata; Lepidosauria; Squamata; Anolidae
Exons: 2
Source: RefSeq, a predicted model, not a curated record